Molecule: ribosomal RNA, 403 nt
Filed under: uncultured bacterium
Lineage: Bacteria
Description: bacterial SSU rRNA
Rfam family: Bacterial small subunit ribosomal RNA
Source: RNAcentral
UUAGGAAUUUUGGGCAAUGGGCGAAAGCCUGACCCAGCAACGCCGCGUGGGUGAUGAAGGCCCUCGGGUCGUAAAGCCCUUUUCCCAGGGAAGAUAGUGACGGUACCUGGGGAAUCAGCCCCGGCUAACUACGUGCCAGCAGCCGCGGUAAUACGUAGGGGGCAAGCGUUGUCCGGAUUUAUUGGGCGUAAAGCGCUCGCAGGUGGUUCGUUGCGUCGUGCGUGAAAGACCCCGGCUCAACUGGGGAGGGUCGUGCGAUACGGGCGAACUGGAGGCCAGUAGGGGGAUGCGGAAUUCCGGGUGUAGUGGUGGAAUGCGUAGAGAUCCGGAGGAACACCAGCGGCGAAGGCGGCAUCCUGGACUGGUCCUGACACUCAUGAGCGAAAGCGUGGGGAGCGAUCCG